UUCACUCCGAGAUGACAGCGCAUUGACGCCGCUGCACGAUGGAGUGCGGGUUUUUUUCUCUUUUUGGAAAGUAGAAAUCCUGGAUGUGUUCAAACCAACAGAAACAUUCUCACCCGAUUUCUGGUCGGCAUGGAUGAGUUGGACUGAAAGCAUGGCCAAAUCACCUGACCUGCACAUCUUUGUGAGAG
Molecule: non-coding RNA, 188 nt
Organism: Chiloscyllium plagiosum (whitespotted bambooshark)
Lineage: Eukaryota; Metazoa; Chordata; Chondrichthyes; Orectolobiformes; Hemiscylliidae
Source: RefSeq, a predicted model, not a curated record